GUGGGGAAUAUUGGGCAAUGGGGGAAACCCUGACCCAGCAACGCCGCGUGAGGGAAGAAGGCUUUCGGGUUGUAAACCUCUGUCCCAUGGGAAGAAAUAAAUGACGGUACCAUGGGAGGAAGCCCCGGCUAACUACGUGCCAGCAGCCGCGGUAAGACGUAGGGGGCAAGCGUUGUCCGGAUUCAUUGGGUUUAAAGGGUGCGUAGGCGGAGCGUUAAGUCAGUGGUGAAAUCCUGCAGCUUAACUGUAGACUUGCCAUUGAUACUGGCGCUCUUGAGUGCGCUUGAAGUGGGCGGAAUGUGCCGUGUAGCGGUGAAAUGCUUAGAUAUGGCACAGAACACCAAUUGCGAAGGCAGCUCACUAAGGCGAUACUGACGCUGAGGCACGAAAGCGUGGGGAUCGAACAGGAUUAGAUACCCGGGUAGUCC
RNAcentral lists this ribosomal RNA (428 nucleotides) under uncultured bacterium. Its description in RNAcentral is "partial 16S ribosomal RNA". It matches the Rfam family "Bacterial small subunit ribosomal RNA", at positions 354 to 796 of the family's 1533-position model. The record is from RNAcentral.